ACAGUAGAUGAACGGUAGUGAAGUCAAGUCACUCCCGAUGAGUCAGUGAGAGCCCAAACAAAAUGGUGGAAUUUCUUCAGAGCUUCGUUUUAAACAUCAACAACUAGAGAAGACUCACUAUUUCCACCCAAUUCAGUGUUUUCCUGCUGCGUUGCCCUGAGAGACAGAAACUCAUCGACCUUCACUACUGAUGAGCAGCAGGGAUUCAUUCCCCCCGUUAAAGAAACAGUGUGGACCUCUGCCACAGCGGGUCGACUCUCAUCUCAAAGCUUCUGAAGGAAUAAGACAUGAGCAUCCCCACACCUGCAUCUCGAUGAGCAGCCUGUCGUGUAAUUUAAUGUGACUUCCCGCUCGCAAACGCCGAGGUAUCGAUCGGCAAGCAGAGUACACUCAGUGAUGAGUCACCCGGGGUUACUGAGGACGAUCUGGGCCAUACAUCAACAUUCAAACAUCAAAACCGGCUGCAUUCUUCACAUUAAAAGCGAUCUACAGGCUGAUAGAGGAAACACAGCGAGAUGCG
Molecule: long non-coding RNA, 520 nt
Organism: Sebastes umbrosus (honeycomb rockfish)
Lineage: Eukaryota; Metazoa; Chordata; Actinopteri; Perciformes; Sebastidae
Exons: 3
Source: RefSeq, a predicted model, not a curated record